UACAGAGGGGGCAAGCGUUGUUCGGAAUUACUGGGCGUAAAGGGCGCGUAGGCGGCCCGCUAAGUCGAACGUGAAAUCCCCGGGCUCAACCCGGGAACUGCGUCCGAUACUGGUGGGCUUGAAUCCGGGAGAGGGAUGCGGAAUUCCAGGUGUAGCGGUGAAAUGCGUAGAGAUGCGGAGGAACACCGAUGGCGAAGGCAGCCCCCUGGGCUGACACUGACGCUCAGGCACGAAAGCGUGGGGAGCAAACAGG
RNAcentral lists this ribosomal RNA (253 nucleotides) under uncultured bacterium. RNAcentral describes it as "partial 16S ribosomal RNA". It matches the Rfam family "Bacterial small subunit ribosomal RNA", at positions 524 to 776 of the family's 1533-position model. The record is from RNAcentral.